CGUUACAUUGAAUUCUGCUCAGAUACUUCAACAUACUUUUAAAAAUAGAACUUAGAUUUAAUUUUAAACCAGGUUAUGCCUUCUCUCUUAAAUAAUAUAUAGUUGAAACAUAAAAGUAUUAGAAACCCUAUCUUAUUUUUUAUCUAUCUGAAAUAUAUAUAUCAUGACUUGUAUCCAAUUUUUGCUCUACUCAGAGCAGUUCCAUUGCAAUUAAAUUAGCUCCAUUAAUUUCAGUUUGGUAGCUGGGAAAUCAGCUGAAACUAAAGAAAGCACUUGGGGUGCUAUCUUUACUACACAACUUCCUUAAUUUUGCAGGCUGGUCAUACAGCUGUUCUGUGGCCACUGCUCCACCAUGAAUGAAGUGAGCUGAAAUGUAUGGCUUUCAGGUGAAGACCCCUACCAUUCUAAGAGAAUGAGGCAAGUGAUAUAUCAGCAGACACCUUUAGUUGUUUUUUCUGCUGGUUGAUAAUCCAUCUCUGUGAAAGCUAGUUUCUGAUUACCGUAUUUUUCGCCCCAUAGGACACACUUUUUCCCCUCCAAAAAUGAAGGGGAAAUCUGUGUGCGUCCUAUGGGGCGAAUGCAGGCUUUCACUGAAGCUUGGAGAGCGAGAGGCAUCGGUGCGCACCGACCCCUCUCACUCUCCAGGCUUCAGGAAGCUAUCCGCAAGCCUUGCAAGCCCUGCGGGAGUUCUCGCGGGCUCACAAGGCUUGUGGCAGCAGCCUGCAGCCCGAAGCACGGGGCGUCCUCCGGAGGGCGCCCCAUGCUUCGGGCAGGUGUGUCCGCAAGCCUUGCGCGCCCGGCGGGAGGUCCCGCCGGGCGUGCAAGGCUUGGGGCGGCAGCCUGCAGCCCGAAGCAUGGGGAGCCCUCCGGAGGGCUCCCCAUGCUUCGGGCAAGUGUCCGCAAGGACUUGGGGCGGCAGCCGCGGCUGGGGGGGAAAUAAUUUUUUUUAAUUCAUUUCCCCCCCAAAAAACGAGGUGCGUCCUUCUGCUUUAAUUUUAACCAAGAGAUAACUUGGUCAAAUGCAACAGACCACAGCAGGGCAGCACCACUGCCACUCACCAGUUGUGUUCUAACAAUGUUCCCAUGUUUGUCUUGCAUGAUAGGAACUUUUCAAUGCAUGCCGAAAGCCCUAGGUUUAAUCCCUGACAUCUCCAUAAAGGGCAGGGGGAAAACUAAAACCUUGGAUAGCUACUGCUAAUCAGUGUAGACAAUAAUGAGUUAAAUAAUGAUAAGGGCCCUUCCAUAUGUCCUUUUAAUUGUAUGGUCACGUUUAUUUGUGUUCAUGAUGGUAUCGGGUUGAUUAUACAUGAUGCUGUUCUUAGUAAUGUUUGCACCUGCAGUAGUUCUGGGGUGGACAUACUGCCAGCCUGGAGAGACCCUAAGGCAGCUUCCUGAGUUCACAAAGACAUCACAGUUCCCACUACAGUGCAUCUGUGACCCAAGCUGGACAUGGAAGCCAUUUCUGAGUUAAGCAGUUCUGUCUUUGCAUGCAUGCAUGCAAAUAUAGUGGAACCUCGUGUUACGUACUGUCAUCUUUGGGAACGAUGGGUUACAAGCUCCGCUAACCCGGAAGUAGAUGCCCCUUGUUGCGAACUUUGUCCCGGGAUGCGAGCGGAAGUCGCAUGCCAGCAGCGCAGCAGCAGCGGGAGGCACCAUUAGCAAAAGCGCGCCUCAUGUUACGAGCGGUUUCAGGUUACAAACAGACCUCCGGAACAGAUUAAGUUCGUAACUGGAAGUACCACUGUAUUCUGUUAAUGCACCCUAAAAAAUAGCAUUUACCUCUUUUUCUUCGUUUUCUUAAAUAUGCGCUGUGAUCCCGUGUAUUAUCUUUAUUAAAUGGUCUUUUACUCAGACCUAUGUUUUGGACCCAUGUUCUGAUUUAUCAUGUCUCUGCGGAGCUUUUAAUCUGGUCUCGUGUAGUAUUUGCAAAGCUUCACGAGUGGGAACCCUUGCUAGCCGGUGAUUUUUGUCUUUCUUUCUGUCCAGCGGGAUGCCAGACCAAACUUGUUUCAGCAGCACUCUCUUGCGACUUCUGAAUUCAGAAAGAAAAAUAGCUUUUAUGCUUUCCACCUUCCCCAUGGCCAGUCUCUAUGAGCCUCCUUGGAAAAAAAAAAGACAAGGAGGGGGGAAGGGGUUCAUAGGGGAAUGACUUGUGCUUGCACUGGUGCAAUUGGGGGACACUUUUAGGCUGGGCAACGACAUUCCAGGAAAGGUCUCAUUCUUGGGCUUGUUUUCCCAAAACAAAGGAAGCAGCCUUGCAUUGCUGGAAGUUGCGUGCUUUGGUUGUGCUGCCUUGUUAUCAUCCGAUAACCUGGCGACCCUGGCGCUGCCCUGCUCCUCACCCGGCAGCCUCGGGCUAGGGGAUGUGAACAGCUUCCGCACACUUGCCCUUGUGCACAGAUUCACCUUCCUUUCAGUGCAUAGCAUAGCAUGGUGUGUGUGUUACGCAUGCAGGGAUAGCAUUAGGGAGGGGUGUCUCUGAACCUUCUCUAUCUUCGCUUUCCUCAGCCCUGUGGUGAUGUAAUUCUGUGGACAGGCUACCAUGGAAGGGUAGAUUUCCCAUCAUGCAUCAAACAUCAUCAAAUGGCUAUUUUACACUUGCAAUCUCUGAAAGGAUUUUAUAAAAUUGUGGGUGGCUAUACUAAGAAUGAUGUUCUAAUUUCACACUUGGAAUGGCCCAAAGAGCGACGCGGGUGGCGCUGUGGGUAAAACCUCAGUGCCUAGGACUUGCCGAUCGCAUGGUCGACGGUUCGAAUCCCCGUGGCGGGGUGAGCUCCCGUCGUUCGGUCCCAGCUCCUGCCCACCUAGCAGUUCGAAAGCACCCUUAAGUGCAAGUAGAUAAAUAGGUACCGCUUUAUAGAGGGAAGGUAAACGGCGUUCCGUGUGCUGCUCUGGUGCCAGUUCGCCAGAGCAGCUUCGUCACGCUGGCCACGUGACCUGGAAGUGUCUGCGGACAGCGCUGGCUCCUGGCCUCUAGAGUGAGAUGAGCGCACAACCCUAGAGUCUGUCAAGACUGGCCCGUACGGGCAGGGGUACCUUUACCUUUAAUGUCCCAAAGACGUCUGAAAGUCAGUCAUAAUGGCACAAUUCAUUUAUUUAUUAGAAAUAUUUUUAUACCGCUUUUUAUAAAAUCUCAGAGCAGUGUACAAAGUUAACAUUCAAAACACAACAAUAAAAUCAUAUACACAAGGUUAAAUACAAGUUAAAUAUGAUGUCUCUUGCCCUGUUAAAUCAUCCAUUGAUAGGUUGCUAAUGAUGCAGUCUCCAUUGACUGGAGAAAGCAUAUUUGGGCUGUGGGCUGUGGGCUGUUGAUCUGACUCAGCCACAGAUCUUGUUGAAUGAGGGAUAUGAGGAGGAGAUUGUUUAGCUUUAUAGAUCGAAUGUAGUAUGUGAAAGCUGUGUGGGGUUUUUUAUAUUAAAAAUGUACAAAGAAUAGCUGCAUUACACACCCUGCAUAAAUUAUACAAAUUAAUAAAAUGUACAUAUAUUUAUUAUACAUAAUUUAUUCUGCGUCUCCAAAGCUUUUUUCCUCAUCCUGUAGUUAGAACACUGAAGUUUUACCCCUGCUCAGCUUCCCACUUUUCAGCAGGGAAUAUCUAAAAAUACAAGCUGUGGCUUGUGGACUUUAGAGCAGAUAUUGCUCACACUUUCAAGCCAAUUUUCACAAGCCUUGAGUUAUGGGAACUUUGCCUUGUUAAAGAUAAAACCUGUGGUACUAAGGGCCCUUCUGGAGCACCUUCACAGAUUUCACACAGUCCUGCCACCAGUAGGAAUGUGUGCUUUUACAUAGGCUAUGAAAAAGAGAGAGAAUACCUCGGGUUACAUACGCUUCAGGUUACAUACGCUUCAGGUUACACACGCUGCUAACCUAGAAAUAAUGCUUCAGGUUAAGAACUUUGCUUCAGGAUAAGAACAGAAAUUGGGCUCCGGCGGCAGCAGGAGGCCCCAUUAGCUAAAGUGGUGCUUCAGGUUAAGAACAGUUUCAGGUUAAGUACGGACCUCUGGAACGAAUUAAGUACUUAACCCGAGGUACCACUGUACAGUGUGUAGUAAGUAAAAGAAAUUAUUUUUUUUAAAAAACUCUAUUCAAGAUGGGCAGGGCCCUUCAGGUUUGCUCUGCAAAGAUUUUGAUGAAUUUCUAUAUUCAGAACUUGCUGAAACUUCCUGCUGGAUUCUAGAACUUCUUGCUCUUUCUGGGCUCUACUGCCAACCCUUGCUGCACAUGAACAGAGGCCUCAACAUUAAAAUUCCAAUGCUGGUUUGAUGGCGGAAGUCCUGGGUGGAUGCCCAAAUUUAGCACUGUAUUCUCAGAUAAGCUUAAUUUUGGUGACAUUAUUAGUACCCCCAUUUCCCAGGCUGGGGAGCAAGACCAAUUUUUUCCUCCUCCCCUGUUUUCAUAGGGUGAAAUCUGCAGUUCUUUGUUCUUAUAAUCUCAGCUUUUAAUAUUUAAAAAAUAUUUCUAAACCUCUGUCUUUACACAGAAAAGUCCUUCCAAAUGUGCAAAGUUCUUACUCUUUCUGUUGGGAAAAGAAAAUUUAAAUUACCAUAUUGGCCCGAAUAUAAACUGCACCCUAAUAUAAGCCGCACCUUU
This is a non-coding RNA of Podarcis lilfordi (Lilford's wall lizard), 4591 nucleotides long. The record is from the annotation of a GenBank genome assembly. NCBI's taxonomy places the organism in Eukaryota, Metazoa, Chordata, Lepidosauria, Squamata, Lacertidae.